RNAcentral lists this ribosomal RNA (110 nucleotides) under Aequorivita marisscotiae. The record is from RNAcentral. RNAcentral also lists the same sequence under 1 other name. Lineage: Bacteria; Pseudomonadati; Bacteroidota; Flavobacteriia; Flavobacteriales; Flavobacteriaceae.
UAAGGUGGUUAUAGCGACGGGGCUCACCUCUUACCAUUCCGAACAGAGUAGUUAAGCCCGUUUGCGCCGAUGGUACUGCUAUCCAGUGGGAGAGUAGGUCGCCGCCUUCC